Molecule: ribosomal RNA, 301 nt
Filed under: uncultured bacterium
Lineage: Bacteria
Description: partial 16S ribosomal RNA
Rfam family: Bacterial small subunit ribosomal RNA
Source: RNAcentral
CAGCCGCCGCGGGAAUACGUAGGGUGCGAGCGUUAAUCGGAAUUACUGGGCGUAAAGCGUGCGCAGGCGGUUGUGUAAGACAGGUGUGAAAUCCCCGGGCUUAACCUGGGAACUGCGCUUGUGACUGCACAGCUAGAGUAUGGCAGAGGGGGGUGGAAUUCCACGUGUAGCAGUGAAAUGCGUAGAGAUGUGGAGGGACACCGAUGGCGAAGGCAGCCCCCUGGGCCAAUACUGACGCUCAUGCACGAAAGCGUGGGGAGCAAACAGGAUUAGAUACCCCUGUAGUCCCUGUCUCUUAUAC